GAUGUAGAACGUAGCGAAAUGCGAUACGUAAUGUGAAUUGCAGAAUUCAGUGAAUCAUCGAAUCUUUGAACGCAUAUUGCGCUCUUUGGUAUUCCGAAGAGCAUGCUUGUUUGAGUAUCAGUAAACACCUCAACCUCUUCUUGAUUUUUCAAAAGGAGGGUGGACUUGAGCUAUCCCAACAACCUUUACCGGUCGGCGGGCGGCUUGAAAUGCAGGUGCAGCUGGACUUUUAUCUGAGCUAAAAGCAUAUCUAUUUAGUCCUCGUCAAACAGGAUUAUUACUUUUGCUGCAGCUAACAUAAAGGAUAAUUGUCCUCUUUGCUGACUGAUGCAGGAUUUUACGACACUUUAUGUGUUGUUCAACUCGAUCUCAAAUCAAGUAAGACUACCCGCUGAACUUAAGCAUAUCAAUAAGCGGAGGA
RNAcentral lists this unclassified non-coding RNA (421 nucleotides) under soil metagenome. Its description in RNAcentral is "partial contains 5.8S ribosomal RNA, internal transcribed spacer 2, and large subunit ribosomal RNA". The stretch from base 1 to 120 matches the Rfam family "5.8S ribosomal RNA", at positions 35 to 154 of the family's 154-position model. The record is from RNAcentral.